ACCCAGAUAACUCAGUUGGUAGAGAAUGAGACUCUUAAUCUCAGGGUCGUGGGUUUGAGCCCCACAUUGGGCA
Molecule: non-coding RNA, 73 nt
Organism: Capra hircus (goat)
Lineage: Eukaryota; Metazoa; Chordata; Mammalia; Artiodactyla; Bovidae
Source: the annotation of a RefSeq genome assembly